This 59-nucleotide transfer RNA is filed under the name Dipodomys ordii (Ord's kangaroo rat). It matches the Rfam family "tRNA", at positions 7 to 64 of the family's 71-position model. Rfam says of the family: Transfer RNA (tRNA) molecules are approximately 80 nucleotides in length. Their secondary structure includes four short double-helical elements and three loops (D, anti-codon, and T loops). Further hydrogen bonds mediate the characteristic L-shaped molecular structure. tRNAs have two regions of fundamental functional importance: the anti-codon, which is responsible for specific mRNA codon recognition, and the 3' end, to which the tRNAs corresponding amino acid is attached (by aminoacyl-tRNA synthetases). tRNAs cope with the degeneracy of the genetic code in two manners: having more than one tRNA (with a specific anti-codon) for a particular amino acid; and 'wobble' base-pairing, i.e. permitting non-standard base-pairing at the 3rd anti-codon position. The record is from Rfam by way of RNAcentral. Lineage: Eukaryota; Metazoa; Chordata; Mammalia; Rodentia; Heteromyidae.
GUGGCUCAGUGGUAGAGUGCUUGCCUCGCAUGCAUGAGGUCCUGGGUUUGAUUCCUAGC